This 842-nucleotide ribosomal RNA is filed under the name uncultured Chloroflexota bacterium. Its description in RNAcentral is "bacterial SSU rRNA". It matches the Rfam family "Bacterial small subunit ribosomal RNA", at positions 28 to 895 of the family's 1533-position model. Lineage: Bacteria; Bacillati; Chloroflexota. The record is from RNAcentral.
GAUGAACGCUGGCGGCGUGCUUUAUGCAUGCAAGUCGAACGGUCCCGAUUUAUCGGGACAGUGGCGGAUGGGUGAGUAACGCGUAAGUAACCUGCCCUUAAGUGGGGGAUAACCCUGGGAAACUGGGGCUAAUACCGCAGUGGUGGUAGGGUGAUGCUCUAUCACUAAAGCCUUCGGGCGCUUAAGGAGGGGCUUGCGUCCGAUUAGCUAGUUGGUAGGGUAAUGGCCUACCAAGGCGAUGAUCGAUAGCUAGUCUGAGAGGACGGUCAGCCACACUGGGACUGAGACACGGCCCAGACUCCUACGGGAGGCAGCAGCAAGGAAUUUUAUGCAAUGGGCGAAAGCCUGACAUAGCGACGCCGCGUGGGGGAUGAAGGCCUUCGGGUCGUAAACCCCUUUUGCAGGGGAAGAAGAUCUGACGGUACCCUGCGAAUAAGCCACGGCUAACUACGUGCCAGCAGCCGCGGUAAUACGUAGGUGGCAAGCGUUGUCCGGAUUUAUUGGGCGUAAAGGGCGCGUAGGCGGUUCAUUAAGUUCGGGGUGAAAUCUCCCGGCUCAACUGGGAGGGGUCCCCGGAUACUGAUGGACUAGAGGGGGGUAGAGGAAGGUGGAAUUCCCGGUGUAGCGGUGAAAUGCGUAGAUACCGGGAGGAACACCGGUGGCGAAGGCGGCCUUCUGGGCCUACCCUGACGCUGAGGCGCGAAAGCGUGGGGAGCGAACCGGAUUAGAUACCCGGGUAGUCCACGCCCUAAACGUUGGACACUAGGUGUGGGGGGUAUCGACCCCUCCCGUGCCGCAGCUAACGCCUUAAGUGUCCCGCCUGGGAAGACGGCCGCAAGGCU